Mobula hypostoma (lesser devil ray) is the source of this 169-nucleotide long non-coding RNA. RefSeq lists it as uncharacterized. The record is from RefSeq and is a predicted model, not a curated record. The transcript has 2 exons. Lineage: Eukaryota; Metazoa; Chordata; Chondrichthyes; Myliobatiformes; Myliobatidae.
GCGGUAACCGCCGUGCAGUACCUGGCAAAUAGCUGCGAGUUAUCUUCGAUGCAGGUCACUACUUCGACGAAGACUCAAUAAGGUCGAUCCUUUAUUAAGCUGCCGAACAAUUAAUCCUUCAUAUCCUGUACUUCGAUAAAGUCUUCACUCUCCAAUACUACUGAAAAGG